Molecule: ribosomal RNA, 272 nt
Filed under: uncultured bacterium
Lineage: Bacteria
Description: partial 16S ribosomal RNA
Rfam family: Bacterial small subunit ribosomal RNA
Source: RNAcentral
UACAGAGGUCCCCAAGCGUUGUUCGGAUUCACUGGGCGUAAAGGGUGCGUAGGCGGUCGGGUAAGUCUAACGUGAAAUCUCCGAGCCUAACUCGGAAACUGCGUCGGAUACUAUUCGGCUAGAGGAAUGGAGGGGAGACUGGAAUUCUCGGUGUAGCAGUGAAAUGCGUAGACAUCGAGAGGAACACCAGUGGCGAGGGCGAGUCUCUGGACAUUUCCUGACGCUGAGGCACGAAAGCCAGGGGAGCAAACGGGAUUAGAAACCCGGGUAGU